CCACUGCUCAGUUGGUAAAGCACAAGGCUCUUAACUUUAUGGUCGUGGGUUUGAGCCCCACGGUGGG
Molecule: transfer RNA, 67 nt
Filed under: Triticum aestivum (bread wheat)
Lineage: Eukaryota; Viridiplantae; Streptophyta; Magnoliopsida; Poales; Poaceae
Rfam family: tRNA
About the family: Transfer RNA (tRNA) molecules are approximately 80 nucleotides in length.
Source: Rfam by way of RNAcentral